AUACGUAGGGGGCGAGCGUUGUCCGGAAUGACUGGGCGUAAAGGGCGCGUAGGCGGCCGAUUAAGUCUGGAGUGAAAGUCCUGCUUUCGAGGUGGGAAUUGCUUUGGAGACUGGUUGGCUUGAGUGCGGAAGAGGUAAGUGGAAUUCCCAGUGUAGCGGUGAAAUGCGUAGAGAUUGGGAGGAACACCAGUGGCGAAGGCGACUUACUGGGCCGUAACUGACGCUGAGGCGCGAAAGCGUGGGGAGCGAACAGGAUUAGAUACCCUGGUAGUCCACGCGGUAAACGAUGAAUGCUAGGUGUUGCGGGUAUCGACCCCUGCAGUGCCGGAGUAAACACAAUAAGCAUUCCGCCUGGGGAGUACGGCCGCAAGGUUGAAACUCAAAUGAAUUGACGGGG
This 397-nucleotide ribosomal RNA is filed under the name uncultured bacterium. RNAcentral describes it as "partial 16S ribosomal RNA". It matches the Rfam family "Bacterial small subunit ribosomal RNA", at positions 523 to 918 of the family's 1533-position model. The record is from RNAcentral.